GAUGAAAAGCACUUUGGAAAGAGAAUGAAACAGUAUGUGAAAUUGCUGGAAGGGAAACGAUUGAAGUUAGACUUGCGUUUGUGACACUCAGCCUUUUCUUCGGACUGGUGUAUUUGUCACUUGUGCAGGCCAGCAUCAGUUUACUUUGUUGUAAAAGGGUAGAGAGAAUGUGGCAUCCUCGGAUGUGUUAUAGCUCUUUACUGGAUGCAACGUCGUAGACUGAGGACUGCAGCCUUUUUGGCUUAGGAUGCUGGUAGAAUAGCUUUAACCGACCCGUCUUGUAACACGGACCA
This 293-nucleotide ribosomal RNA is filed under the name Picochlorum sp. RCC944. RNAcentral describes it as "partial Eukaryotic large subunit ribosomal RNA". It matches the Rfam family "Eukaryotic large subunit ribosomal RNA", at positions 363 to 668 of the family's 3401-position model. Lineage: Eukaryota; Viridiplantae; Chlorophyta; Trebouxiophyceae. The record is from RNAcentral.